AGUAUCUGUUCUUAUCAGUUUAAUAUCUGAUACGUCAUCUAUCCGAGGACAAUAUAUUAAAUAGAUUUUUGGAGUAGGGAGUUGGAAUAGAAGCUUGCUCCGUCCACUCCACGCAUCGACCUGGUAUUGCAUUACCUCUAGGAACAGUGC
RNAcentral lists this small nuclear RNA (150 nucleotides) under Mustela putorius furo (domestic ferret). Its description in RNAcentral is "U2 spliceosomal RNA (ENSMPUG00000022578.1)". It matches the Rfam family "U2 spliceosomal RNA", at positions 35 to 185 of the family's 192-position model. From Rfam's summary of the family: U2 is a small nuclear RNA (snRNA) component of the spliceosome (involved in pre-mRNA splicing). Lineage: Eukaryota; Metazoa; Chordata; Mammalia; Carnivora; Mustelidae. The record is from RNAcentral.